AGUCACUGACAUUAGAUACCCCUGUAGUCCAGGGUGUAAACGCUGCAGACUUGGUGUUGGAAGUCCUUUGGGGGCAUUCAGUGCCGGAGAGAAGUUGUUAAGUCUGCUACUUGGGGAGUACGUCCGCAAGGAUGAAACUUAAAGGAAUUGGCGGGGGAGCACCGCAACGGGAGGAGCGUGCGGUUUAAUUGGAUUCAACACCGUAAACUCACCAGGGAAGACUGUUACAUGAAGGCCGAGAUGAAGACUCUGCUAGAUUUUCAG
Molecule: ribosomal RNA, 264 nt
Filed under: uncultured archaeon
Lineage: Archaea
Description: partial 16S ribosomal RNA
Rfam family: Archaeal small subunit ribosomal RNA
Source: RNAcentral